GAAAUGCGAUAAGUAGUGUGAAUUGCAGAAUUCAGUAAAUCAUCGAAUCUUUGAACGCACAUUGCGCCCCUUGGUAUUCCAUGGGGCAUGCCUGUUCGAGCGUCAUUUGUACCCUCAAGCUCUGCUUGGUGUUGGGUGUUUGUCCCCGUCUCCGCGCGUGGACUCGCCCCAAAGUGAUUGGCAGCCGGCGUACUGGUCCCGGAGCGCAGCACAUGUCGCGCAAACGAGUGCCUUGGUACGGCGGCGUCCAUAAGCCCCUCUCUCACGCUCUUGACCUCGGAUCAGGUAGGGAUACCCGCUGAACUUAAGC
RNAcentral lists this unclassified non-coding RNA (310 nucleotides) under plant metagenome. Its description in RNAcentral is "partial contains 5.8S ribosomal RNA, internal transcribed spacer 2, and large subunit ribosomal RNA". The stretch from base 1 to 105 matches the Rfam family "5.8S ribosomal RNA", at positions 50 to 154 of the family's 154-position model. The record is from RNAcentral.